AACCAACAGGGAUUCCCCUAGUAACGGCGAGUGAAGCGGGAACAGCUCAAAUUUGAAAUCUGGCCCUUGGGUCCGAGUUGUAAUUUGCAGAGGAUGCUUUUGGUGCGGUGCCUUCCGAGUUCCCUGGAACGGGACGCCUUAGAGGGUGAGAGCCCCGUACGGUUGGCCACCAAGCCUGUGUAAAGCUCCUUCGACGAGUCGAGUAGUUUGGGAAUGCUGCUCAAAAUGGGAGGUAUAUUUCUUCUAAAGCUAAAUACUGGCCAGAGACCGAUAGCGCACAAGUAGAGUGAUCGAAAGAUGAAAAGCACUUUGAAAAGAGGGUUAAAUAGCACGUGAAAUUGUUGAAAGGGAAGGAUUUAUGACCAGACUUUUUCUAGGGGGAUCAUCCGGUGUUCUCACCGGUGCACUUCCCCUAGUUGAGGCCAGCAUCGGUUUCUGUCGGGGGAUAAAAGCUUCAGGAAUGUGGCUCCCUCCGGGGAGUGUUAUAGCCUGUUGCAUAAUACCCUGACGGGGACCGAGGUUCGCGCAUUGCAAGGAUGCUGGCGUAAUGGUUAUUAAUCACCCGUCUUGAAACACGGACCAAGGAGUCGAACAUUUGUGCGAGUGUUUGGGUGUUAAACCCUCACGCGUAAUGAAAGUGAACGGAGGUGAGAGCCCUUCGGGGUGCAUCAUCGACCGAUCCUGAUGUCUUCGGAUGGAUUUGAGUAAGAGCAUAACUGUUCGGACCCGAAAGAUGGUGAACUAUGCGUGGAUAGGGUGAAGCCAGAGGAAACUCUGGUGGAGGCUCGCAGCGGUUCUGACGUGCAAAUCGAUCGUCAAAUCUGCGCAUGGGGGCGAAAGACUAAUCGAACCAU
RNAcentral lists this ribosomal RNA (854 nucleotides) under Apiospora rasikravindrae. Its description in RNAcentral is "eukaryotic LSU rRNA". It matches the Rfam family "Eukaryotic large subunit ribosomal RNA", at positions 63 to 943 of the family's 3401-position model. Lineage: Eukaryota; Fungi; Ascomycota; Sordariomycetes; Amphisphaeriales; Apiosporaceae. The record is from RNAcentral.